Molecule: ribosomal RNA, 468 nt
Filed under: uncultured bacterium
Lineage: Bacteria
Description: partial 16S ribosomal RNA
Rfam family: Bacterial small subunit ribosomal RNA
Source: RNAcentral
GACGAACGCUGGCGGCGUGCUUAACACAUGCCAGUCGAACGGAAAGGCCCUGCUCUUGUGGGGUGCUCGAGUGGCGAACGGGUGAGUAACACGUGAGUAACCUGCCCUUGACUUUGGGAUAACUUCAGGAAACUGGGGCUAAUAUCGGAUAGGAGCUCUUGCUGCACGGUGGUGGUUGGAAAGUUUCGGCGGUUGGGGAUGGACUCGCAGCUUAUCAGCUUGUUGGUGGGGUAGUUGCUUACCAAGGCUUUGACGGAUAGCCGGCCUGGGAGGGUGACCGGCCACAUUGGGACUGAGGUACGGCCCAGACGCCUACGGGAGGCAGCGGUGGGGAGUAUUGCACAAUAGGCGGAAGCCUGAUGCAGCAGCGCCGCGUGCGGGAUACCGGCCUUCGGGUUGUAAACCGCUUUCGCCUGUGACGAAGCGUGAGUGACGGUAAUGAGUAAAGAAGCACCGGCUAACUACGUG